This 470-nucleotide ribosomal RNA is filed under the name uncultured bacterium. Its description in RNAcentral is "bacterial SSU rRNA". It matches the Rfam family "Bacterial small subunit ribosomal RNA", at positions 28 to 507 of the family's 1533-position model. The record is from RNAcentral.
GAUGAACGCUGGCGGCGUGCUUAACACAUGCAAGUCGAACGAAGAUGCCGGAGUGCUUGCACUUUGGCAGACUGAGUGGCGGACGGGUGAGUAACGCGUGGGUAACCUGCCUUAUACAGGGGGAUAACAGUUGGAAACGACUGCUAAUACCGCAUAAGCGCACGGUAUCGCAUGAUACAGUGUGAAAAACUCCGGUGGUAUAAGAUGGACCCGCGUCUGAUUAGCUUGUUGGUGAGGUAACGGCCCACCAAGGCGACGAUCAGUAGCCGGCCUGAGAGGGUGAACGGCCACAUUGGGACUGAGACACGGCCCAAACUCCUACGGGAGGCAGCAGUGGGGAAUAUUGCACAAUGGGGGAAACCCUGAUGCAGCGACGCCGCGUGAGUGAUGAAGUAUUUCGGUAUGUAAAGCUCUAUCAGCAGGGAGAAGAAUGACGGUACCUGGACUAAGAAGCACCGGCUAAAUACGUG